ACUUUUAUAGGAUAGAAGUAAUCCAUUGGCCUUAGGAGCCAAAAAAUUGGUGCAACUC
This 58-nucleotide transfer RNA is filed under the name Callosciurus caniceps concolor. Its description in RNAcentral is "partial tRNA-Leu". It matches the Rfam family "tRNA", at positions 1 to 59 of the family's 71-position model. From Rfam's summary of the family: Transfer RNA (tRNA) molecules are approximately 80 nucleotides in length. Their secondary structure includes four short double-helical elements and three loops (D, anti-codon, and T loops). Further hydrogen bonds mediate the characteristic L-shaped molecular structure. tRNAs have two regions of fundamental functional importance: the anti-codon, which is responsible for specific mRNA codon recognition, and the 3' end, to which the tRNAs corresponding amino acid is attached (by aminoacyl-tRNA synthetases). tRNAs cope with the degeneracy of the genetic code in two manners: having more than one tRNA (with a specific anti-codon) for a particular amino acid; and 'wobble' base-pairing, i.e. permitting non-standard base-pairing at the 3rd anti-codon position. Lineage: Eukaryota; Metazoa; Chordata; Mammalia; Rodentia; Sciuridae. The record is from RNAcentral.